This 503-nucleotide ribosomal RNA is filed under the name uncultured bacterium. Its description in RNAcentral is "partial 16S ribosomal RNA". It matches the Rfam family "Bacterial small subunit ribosomal RNA", at positions 30 to 523 of the family's 1533-position model. The record is from RNAcentral.
AUUGAACGCUGGCGGCAGGCUUAACACAUGCAAGUCGAGCGGGGUGAUGGUGCUUGCACUAUCACUUAGCGGCGGACGGGUGAGUAAUGCUUAGGAAUCUGCCUAUUAGUGGGGUACAACAUCUCGCAAGGGAUGCUAAUACCGCAUACGUCCUACGGGAGAAAGCAGGGGAUCACUUGUGACCUUGCGCUAAUAGAUGAGCCUAAGUCGGAUUAGCUAGUUGGUGGGGUAAAGGCCUACCAAGGCGACGAUCUGUAGCGGGUCUGAGAGGAUGAUCCGCCACACUGGGACUGAGACACGGCCCAGACUCCUACGGGAGGCAGCAGUGGGGAAUAUUGGACAAUGGGGGGAACCCUGAUCCAGCCAUGCCGCGUGUGUGAAGAAGGCCUUAUGGUUGUAAAGCACUUUAAGCGAGGAGGAGGCUCUUUUGGUUAAUACCCAAGAUGAGUGGACGUUACUCGCAGAAUAAGCACCGGCUAACUCUGUGCCAGCCGCCGCUGUAA